ACAUCUUAAGCUGAAUUGGUUAAGCAAUGGCCUUCGGAGCUAUAGGGUAUUGGUUCGAGUCCAAUAAGAUGUU
This is a non-coding RNA of Postia placenta MAD-698-R-SB12, 73 nucleotides long. NCBI's taxonomy places the organism in Eukaryota, Fungi, Basidiomycota, Agaricomycetes, Polyporales, Adustoporiaceae. The record is from the annotation of a RefSeq genome assembly.